This 631-nucleotide ribosomal RNA is filed under the name uncultured bacterium. RNAcentral describes it as "bacterial SSU rRNA". It matches the Rfam family "Bacterial small subunit ribosomal RNA", at positions 37 to 676 of the family's 1533-position model. The record is from RNAcentral.
UGGCGGUGCGCCUUAUGCAUGCAAGUCGAGCGAAGCUUUUCAGUAGUUUACUACAGAAAAUGACUGAGCGGCGAACGGGUGAGUAACGCGUGAGCAAUCUACCUUAGUUACAGGGAUAGCCCGAGGAAACUCGGAUUAAUACCUGAUAUUCUUUAAAUUUCGCAUGAAAUUAAAAGGAAAGGUCAGCCGAACUAAGAUGAGCUCGCGUUCUAUCAGCUAGUUGGUGAGGUAAAAGCUCACCAAGGCUACGACGGAUAGCUGGUCUGAGAGGACGAUCAGCCACACUGGGACUGAGACACGGCCCAGACUCCUACGGGAGGCUGCAGCAGGGAAUAUUGCGCAAUGAGCGAAAGCUUGACGCAGCGACACCGCGUGUGGGAUGACGGAUCUAGGUUUGUAAACCACUUUCAGGAGGGAAGAAAAUGACGGUACCUCCACAAGAAGCCCCGGCCAACUACGUGCCAGCAGCCGCGGUAAUACGUAGGGGGCGAGCGUNGUCCGGAUUUAUUGGGCGUAAAGAGCUCGUAGGCGGUUCAACAAGUCGGUCGUGAAAGUUCAGGGCUCAACCCUGAAAUGUCUAUCGAUACUGUUGUGACUAGGAUACGGUAGAGGUGAGUGGAAUUCCGAGUGU